RNAcentral lists this ribosomal RNA (551 nucleotides) under uncultured Glomeromycotina. RNAcentral's name for it is "SSU rRNA". It matches the Rfam family "Eukaryotic small subunit ribosomal RNA", at positions 548 to 1098 of the family's 1831-position model. The record is from RNAcentral. Lineage: Eukaryota; Fungi; Glomeromycota.
UUGGAGGGCAAGUCUGGUGCCAGCAGCCGCGGUAAUUCCAGCUCCAAUGGCGUAUAUUAAAGUUGUUGCAGUUAAAAAGCUCGUAGUUGAACUUCGGGAUUUACCCAUUGGUCAGGCUUAAUUGUCUGUACUGGUGAGAUAAAUCUCUACCUUCUGAGGAACUUUCAUGUCAUUAAUUUGGUGUGAUUGGAAAUCAGGACUGUUACUUUGAAAAAAUUAGAGUGUUUAAAGCAGGCUAACGUCUGAAUACAUUAGCAUGGAAUAAUGAAAUAGGACGGACUGAUUCUAUUUCGUUGGUUUCUAGGAUCACCGUAAUGAUUAAUAGGGAUAGUUGGGGGCAUUAGUAUUCAAUUGUCAGAGGUGAAAUUCUUGGAUUUAUUGAAGACUAACUACUGCGAAAGCAUUUGCCAAGGAUGUUUUCAUUAAUCAAGAACGAAAGUUAGGGGAUCGAAGACGAUCAGAUACCGUCGUAGUCUUAACCAUAAACUAUGCCGACUAGGGAUCGGACGAAGUUAAUUUUAUAAUGACGCGUUCGGCGCCUUACGGGAAAC